CUUUUACUCCCUCCGUUUGGAAAUACUUGUUCUAAAAAUGAUUGUUUCUAUAUCUGUUUUAGUUCUAGAUACAACCAUUUUUCAAACAAGUAUUUCCGAACGGAUGGAGUACAAG
This is a non-coding RNA of Triticum urartu, 115 nucleotides long. NCBI's taxonomy places the organism in Eukaryota, Viridiplantae, Streptophyta, Magnoliopsida, Poales, Poaceae. The record is from Rfam.